ACUCAAAGGAAUUGACGGGGGUCCGCACAAGCGGUGGAACAUGUGGUUUAAUUCGACACUACGCGAGGAACCUUACCUGGGCUUGACAUACACACGACCGUCUCAGAGAUGAGACUUUUUAAGCUUCGGUUUAGACGUGUGAACAGGUGCUGCAUGGCUGUCGUCAGCUCGUGUCGUGAGAUGUUGGGUUAAGUCCUUUAACGAGCGCAACCCUUGCUGUCAGUUGCAAUUGCCUUUUUAGGUAAAGCACUCUGGCGGGACUGCCUGGGAAACCAGGAGGAAGGUGGGGACGACGUCAAGUCAUCAUGGUCCUUAUGUCCAGGGCUACACACGUGUUACAAUGGCUAAGUACAAAGGGAUGCUACAUCGCAAGAUGAUGCUAAUCUCCAAAAUUAGUCUAAGUUCAGAUUGGGGUCUGCAACUCGACCCCAUGAAGUUGAAAUCGCUAGUAAUCGCAUAUCAGAACGAUGCGGUGAAUACGUUCUCGGGCCUUGCACACACCGCCCGU
RNAcentral lists this ribosomal RNA (508 nucleotides) under uncultured bacterium. Its description in RNAcentral is "partial 16S ribosomal RNA". It matches the Rfam family "Bacterial small subunit ribosomal RNA", at positions 899 to 1397 of the family's 1533-position model. The record is from RNAcentral.